CGGUAAUUCCAGCUCCAAUAGCGUAUACUAAAGUUGUUGCAGUUAAAAAGCUCGUAGUUGGAUUUCUGCGGGGACGGAGCGGCCGGUCGCAAUUUGCGACUCGAGCUAGCGCUUUCCCCGCAUCCUGCCGCGAACCGUGCUACCAUUAGUUUGGUGGCGCUGGGGAUCGGCUCGAUUACUUUGAGAAAAAUAGAGUGUUCAAAGCAGGCCACACGCCUUGAAUAAGUUAGCAUGGAAUAAUGACUAAGGACUUUGGUUCUUUUCGUUGGUGUUCGGGACUGAAGUAAUGAUUGAUAGGGACAGUUGGGGCGGUCCGUAUUCCAAAGCGAGAGGUGAAAUUCUUAGACCUUCGGAAGACGAACAGCUGCGAAAGCGUUCCGCAAGGAUGUUCCCUUUGAUCAAGAACGAAAGUUGGGAGAUCGAAGACGAUCAGAUACCGUCGUAGUCUCAACUAUAAACUAUACCAGCUAGGGAUCGGCCAACGUUUAAUUUAUCGACUUGGUCGGCACCUUAUGAGAAAUCAAAGCAUCUGGGUUCCGGGGGGAGUAUGGUCGCAAGGCUGAAACUUAAAGGAGUUGACGGAAGGGCACCACCAGCCGUGGAGCCUGUGGCUUAAUUUGACUCAACACGGGAAAACUUACCAGGUCCAGACAUAGGAAGGAUUGACAGAUUGAUAGCUCUUUCUUGAUUCUGUGGGUGGUGGUGCAUGGCCGUUUUUAGUCGGUGGAUGUGAUCUGUCUGCUUAAUUGCGUUAACGGACGAGACCCCAGCCUGCUAAAUAGCGCGGCCGAGCUUUGCUCGGUGCGAGCUUCUUAGAGGGACCAUGAUGCGCGAUAGCACAAGGAAGUUUGGGGCAACAACAGGUCUGUGAUGCCCUUAGAUGUUCUGGGCCGCACACGGGCUACACUGGCGCCUGCAACGAGCAUAUCAGCUGGCCCGAGAGGGUCUUGGCUAAUCUUUGGAACCGGCGCCGUGCUUGGGAUUGACCAUUGCAAUUGUUGGUCAUGCAACGAGGAAUGCCUUGUAAACGCGAGUCAUCAGCUCGCAUUGAAUACGUCCCUGCUCUUUGUACACACCGCCC
This 1081-nucleotide ribosomal RNA is filed under the name uncultured Rhizaria. RNAcentral describes it as "SSU rRNA". It matches the Rfam family "Eukaryotic small subunit ribosomal RNA", at positions 577 to 1674 of the family's 1831-position model. The record is from RNAcentral.